RNAcentral lists this ribosomal RNA (253 nucleotides) under uncultured bacterium. Its description in RNAcentral is "partial 16S ribosomal RNA". It matches the Rfam family "Bacterial small subunit ribosomal RNA", at positions 524 to 776 of the family's 1533-position model. The record is from RNAcentral.
UACAGAGGGUGCGAGCGUUAAUCGGAAUUACUGGGCGUAAAGCGCACGUAGGCGGCUUGGUAUGUCGGGUGUGAAAUCCCCGGGCUCAACCUGGGAACUGCAUCCGAAACUGCCUUGCUCGAGUAUGGGAGAGGGAAGUGGAAUUUCCGGUGUAGCGGUGAAAUGCGUAGAUAUCGGAAGGAACAUCAGUGGCGAAGGCGACUUCCUGUACCAAUACUGACGCUCAGGUGCGAAAGCGUGGGGAGCAAACAGG